ACGGGGUGCAGCAGGCGCGAAACCUUUACAAUGCACGCAAGUGUGAUAAGGGAAUCCCGAGUGCUUUGCUUUUUGUAAAGCUCUUGCCAAGAGUAAAAAUCUUGGCGAAUAAAUGGUGGGCAAGACUGGUGCCAGCAGCCGCGGUAACACCAGCGCCAUGAGUGGCAAUCAUCAUUAUUGGGCCUAAAGCGUCCGUAGCCGGUUUAAUCCGUCUUUUGUGAAAUCGUUUGGCUUAACCUAACGGUGUGCAAAAGAUACAGUUAAACUUGGAACCGGGAGGAGUCAGAGGUAUUCUAAGGGGAGCGGUAAAAUGCUAUAAUCCUUGGAGGACCACCUGUGGCGAAGGCAUCUGACUACAACGGCUUCGACGGUGAGGGACGAAAGCCAGGGGAACAAACCGGAUUAGAUACCUGGGUAGUCCUGGCUGUAAACGCUGUGAGCUAGGUGUUGCAUAUUCUUCGUGAAUGUGCAGUGUCGAAAUGAAGAUGUUAAGCUCACCGCCUGGGAAGUAUGGUCGCAAGGCUGAAACUUAAAGGAAUUGGCGGGGGAGCC
RNAcentral lists this ribosomal RNA (552 nucleotides) under uncultured archaeon. RNAcentral's name for it is "bacterial SSU rRNA". It matches the Rfam family "Archaeal small subunit ribosomal RNA", at positions 325 to 878 of the family's 1478-position model. The record is from RNAcentral.